This is a long non-coding RNA of Ipomoea nil (Japanese morning glory), 98 nucleotides long. RefSeq lists it as uncharacterized. The record is from RefSeq and is a predicted model, not a curated record. The transcript has 3 exons. Lineage: Eukaryota; Viridiplantae; Streptophyta; Magnoliopsida; Solanales; Convolvulaceae.
UAUUUUGAGAAAGUACAUGAUACGCAUCAAAGGAAAGAAAUAAUUGGUGGUUUAAUUAGUUGAGGGUCUAAAAGGAAUGAAUCAUAUGUAAUUAGAGG